Molecule: long non-coding RNA, 656 nt
Filed under: Ricinus communis (castor bean)
Lineage: Eukaryota; Viridiplantae; Streptophyta; Magnoliopsida; Malpighiales; Euphorbiaceae
Description: long non-coding RNA (RCOM_LNC002638)
Source: RNAcentral
AAUGGCUCCAGUUUCUGCCACUCCUUUCCUCUCCACACUCUACACAAGGGUUCGCCUGGCAACACCUGAGGAUGUCCCUCACAUCCACAAGCUCAUCUACAAAAUGGCUGAUUACUAUCACCUUGCUGACACCUUUGAAGCCACUGAAUCUUCCCUUUCCGCCCAUCUUUUCAAAUCACCUCCUUUCCAAUCUUUUACCACCUUUCUUGCUGAGGUUUCCACUAAACCUCUACCCAGAAUUGAGUCCCCUCAUUUCACGCCCGUUGAGCGCGUUGUCCAGAUUGAUCGUCCUGUAAUCGACCCGGACGCUGAGACCUUCAAGAGUACAAGCGGUGGUGAUGCUGUUGUCGUUGGGUUUACUCUGAUUUUCCCCAACUUCUCGACGUUCAUGGGAAAACCAGGGUUCCAUUUGGAGGAUUUGUUCAUCAGAGAGGGUCACAGAGGGUUUGGAAUGGGGAAGUUGCUGCUCUCCGCGGUGGCUUCUCAGACGGUGAAAAUGGGGUAUGGGAGAGUGGAGUGGACGGUGAUCGACUGGAAUGUGAGAUCUCAUAAGUUCUAUGAGCGAUUAGGUGCUAAAGUUUUGCCUGACUGGAGGAUUUGCAGAUUGAGCGAGGAGAAUCUUGAAGCUUAUGGUGAUGCCAAAUGUCAUUUUAAUU